Molecule: ribosomal RNA, 421 nt
Filed under: uncultured Methanolinea sp.
Lineage: Archaea; Methanobacteriati; Methanobacteriota; Methanomicrobia; Methanomicrobiales; Methanoregulaceae
Description: partial 16S ribosomal RNA
Source: RNAcentral
GGACUACUCGGGUAUCUAAUCCGGUUUGCUCCCCCAGCUUUCGUCCCUCACUGUCGGAGCCGUUCUGGUGAGACGCCUUCGCCACAGGUGGUCCCCCAAGGAUUACAGGAUUUCACUCCUACCCCUGGAGUACCCCUCACCUCUCCCGGUCCCUAGAUUGCCAGUAUCUCCUGAACGCCCAUCGGUUGAGCCGGUAGAUUUCCCAGGAGACUUAACAACCCAGCUACGGACGCUUUAAGCCCAGUAAUAGCGGCCACCACUCGAGCCGCCGGUAUUACCGCGGCGGCUGGCACCGGUCUUGCCCGGCCCUUUCUUCACCAGUUAUUUACACUGAUGGACAGCCCGAAUUUACGGGCACUCGGGGUUCCCUUAUCACGAUUUCUCGCAUUGUAAAGUUUUCGCGCCUGCUGCACCCCGUAGG